Molecule: long non-coding RNA, 8060 nt
Filed under: Sus scrofa (pig)
Lineage: Eukaryota; Metazoa; Chordata; Mammalia; Artiodactyla; Suidae
Description: lncRNA (ENSSSCG00015037919.1)
Source: RNAcentral
UUUUUUUUUUUUUUUUUCUUUUUGGCCAUGCCCACAGUUGGGGAUUGACCCUGCGCCACAGCAGUGACAAUGCCAGGUGCUUAAGUGCUAGGCCACCAGGGAACUCCCUGGUUCUUGUUCUUUUUUUUUAAUGAGAAGUUGGGGAUUAGGGAUGCUCCUGAAAAGGCAUGAAGGUAUCUCUUUCAGAGUGCUUUCAGGGCAACAGACAUUCAUAUCAGAAAAAGCAUUAUUCUUUUAGCUACUUGUUUUCGGGGUCACAUAAAUUAACUCUUAUUUAAUCUUUCUCAAUAGGCACCAACAAUUGCAUUUUACUUUAAGCUAUUUCCUUUGUCCAUUUCAUUGUUAUGAUUGGGAAACAAGAGAACCUCAAAUCAAACGCAGCUUUCCAAAACUCUUAAAAUUAAACUAUUUCUAUAACAAGAAAGAGUGAUAUGAAGAACUUUAUAUCUUUAUUUGUUAAUUCUCUUGAUUGGAAUAAACAGAUCAUCAUCCAUACAAAGUUGCUAAAUCAAAAGAAUUUCUUUUAUAUGUUAGAGGAGGCUGGAAUAAGAGUGACAGGGAAUCCUAAUUCUCCAGAUUUUUAUGUUCGCUUCUUUCAAAAUUUUCCUCAUUUUAAAUGUCAAUAUUAACAUCGCUGAUGGCAUUUUUAAAGUUCUAGAAACUAAAAGUUAAAAUCCCAUUCAAUAUAUUUGAAUAUUCAAAAAUAUCUACACUUGUAGAUUUGACUUAAUGCUCUACUUCAUUUCACUGAAUCUUAAGAUCUUUUAUAAAAUAUACACAAUUCCAAGCUUAUUAACAAUUUAAGAUUUUAAAGUGAUUCUGCUUCUCUUGAAUCCUUGGCAGGGCUAGUUCCUAUCAUUUCAUCAAGAGUUCUUGAAAUGAGAACUCUAUCUUAGGGUGGAGGAUUUAGAGACUUACAAAGUCAAAAAGAAAUCAUAACUCCUACAUUUUUAAUCAUCCAUCCUCCUGGGGUAUGAUUUACCCCAAUAAUUCCCACAAGAAAAUGAAGAAAGUUUUGAAGAACGAGUUAUUCUCAAUGUAAAUCUCCAGUCAGCCUCUGUCAAUCAUUUUAGCCUUUCCCCCUGGUUAGCCUUUCUCCAACUCCUGCCAGAAAACUACACUACGAUUUAAUUGCUUUGUGACUUCACAUUUUAUUAAGAGGCAGAAAAACAUAAAGAGCUAAAACAAGGAGAUAAGCCCAUUGCCAUAAAUUGUCCCCUUAAGCAAUGAAACUUGCCUCUCUAGUGUAAUAAGGUGGGCACUGCAGAAAAACCCCGAUGGGUGCAAUUCUGCAUAAGUCCAGAGCCCCCAUCACUUUCAGAAACCCUUACAGUUCUCUGGAUUGCAGUGCCAUAGAUCAGAACCUGGGGCAGUGAAUGGCAUGCUCUCGAAUGCCAGUGUGAAGGGCAGAACCUGGUGAGUCACUCUGCUUUGCACCUUAGUCCACCCCACAUUUCAAAUUUAUCUUCUAUUCUCAUGGACAAAAAAAAAAAAAAAAAAAAGGCAAAAGAGAAUGACAGGAGACAGAGAGAAAGUUGCAAAAAAUUCUGUAACCUGAUAGUACCCCAUCUACCACCCUGUUUCCCUGGAAAUCAAACUACUUGUUAUAUAUAACCCAGUGAAACACUUCACUAAAAUGUUCACCCUCAUGAACUUGGAAGGAUUUUCUCCUUUCCUACUCUGAUGCUUCCCUUAUAAGUUCCCAUUCUUUCUUCUGUAGUGAGAUGGAAAUCAUUAUUCCUGAAUGUGCCCGAGCCCCUGCCCUCUGGAAGAUUACAUUAAGUGAUUCCCACAAACUAAGCAGGGCUUGAUGUUCAAAGUCCUGGGAAAAUAUCAACCAGUAACUUCUCUAAGAUGCUGCCAGCCAGAAAACAAAGGCUUCAAGUGUUCUUUAAAGCCCACUGAUGGGUAUAAGCAAGUGAGUUUAAAACACCAUUUGGAAAAAGCAUUCAAAUAUUUGAGUGUGUUGGGAGGGUGGGGCGAAAAAGGCUAAUAUAAUUAUUAAACAUAAAGAAAUCUGAAAGGAUAUACAAUAAAGUCAAUGGUGGUUGUUUUAAGGUAUAGGAUCAGAAGAGUGGGAUGCAAGAGUCAAUCUUUUCUGUAUACAUGUUUCAUGACAUGAAUAUGUGAAAAUGGAUGUAUUAUUUUUGUAAUUAAUUUAAAAGCUAAAAUAUGGAGAAGAAUGAUGAUUAAUUUUCCCAAACCAAAAAUCAGAAUACAUGUUAUACAAAGCAUUUUCAGCCCUCAUUAAAUGCAAGAGGGAGUUAUGGAAAAGUAAUUUAGUCAUUGAAAAGUUGAAGUUUUCAGAUUUCAAUAGUUCCCCCCACCCGUAAAGGCAGACACAAUAUCUAAAGCAUCGUUGACAAAAUUUCUAGCAGGUUUCCUAACAUUAGCUAUUGAAUAAAUAGAACAAGUCCCUGAAUUGCCCCACGUGUAUGUAUGUGUGUUCAUGCAUACACACACACACGUGUGUGUGAACAAGCCCAUGUUCCAAGCAAAGAAACAAAACUCAUCAUGUCUUCCUUCCUCCUGGAAGCUCAGCCAGCUGUGGUAGGUGAUCCCAGGAACAUCUUCCCCAGUACUGCACCAGCACCAUCAUGAGGAAUGUGGCUCAAUCAGUGAACAGUUUCUGCAUUUAUGUUUUGCAAAAGAACUACCCAAGGAGAGAACAACAAGCAAAAGAAACUGAAACAACCGCGGAGUCCCUAAGGGACUGUAAUUUGGGUUGGAGCUCUCUUUAAAAGAAUUACAAAAAGUGUAACUGACUACUCAUUUGGGAAAAAAAUUUUCAUUCAUAUCUCAAAUCAUACUUGCAACUAUGUCUCAUACAGAUGAAGUAUUCUAAAAUGUGAAACAAAGCUAUAAAACUACCAUAAGAAAAUAAAGGUAGAUUUCUAUGCAAUCUUGUUAGAGAUGUUGCUAUUCAUUCUACAAACACUGCGCGAAGUGUUAGCGACCUAGCUAUAGACCACACAGGCAUAAUCCCUGUCCCUACAAGGUAGAGAAGGAAACAGGGAAAAAAAAAAUAAAAAUAAUUGCAUAUUCAUACAUGCUCAAAGGGGAAAAAAACCCCUAGGAUUAUGAGAUAGACACUAAUAGAGGGAAAAAAACCAAUGUUGGACAGGAAGGCACUCUGAGAUGAAAUCUAAGGUAAAGCUGAAGGGGUUAGGACCAUGAUAACAGCUCACCACUCACAUGUACUCUGUGAAUAGCACAGCGCUCCAAGAACUAUGCAUGAACUAACCCACUCAAUCCUCUCAACAACCCGAAUUAGGUAUUGUUAUAAUGUUGGUUUCCAUGUUACAGGUGAAGAAGUGAAGUAACUUGCCCAAGGACACACAGCUAGUGAAGAAGGAAGCCAGGUGGACACAAGCAGCUCGCUCAGAGCUCUCUCUAGGGAACUGGCUCUCUGAAUAAGGAGUCCACUCAUAAGAAGGGCAUAUGAGCAUAUGUGUGCGUGUGUGUGAGCAAGCACAUGUUCAAGCAAAGGAACAAGCACCUGCAGAAUCCUGGGAGCAGGAAAGAGGUUGACAUGUUCCAUGAAUUGAAAGGUAGCCAGUGAGGCUGGAACAUAGUGUUCUGUGGAACAGAGGUGAGGCUGGAGAGUAGGCAAAGCCGGACUGUGCUGGGCCUUGCAUGCCGUGGUAAGGAAGAUGCCAUGACUGGCUUAGGCAAAGGUGUGCCAACUUGUGAUUAUACUUCAAAGAGAUCACUCUGCUAUGUAAAGAAGAGACUUUGGGGGAAAUAAUACCAAGGCAUUCCUGCUUCCUAGUUAGUCCAUGUGGAACAACAGAAUAAAGAUUCGACCACCUAAAAUUAAAUACUUACUUACUUUUAAAAAUACUCUACAAAAUUCAAAGGAAAGGGACAUAAAUAUCUAUAAUAUUUUUAUAACACAAGAUAGUUUAUAGCAAAAACACUCUUGCAAAUCAGUAACAAAAGCAAAUGUCCCUUUGGAGAAAUGGGGAAAGAAUAUGAACAGAAUAUUCACAAAGGAAGAUAAACAAAUGGCUUAUAAACAUAUGAUAAAUGUUCAUUUGUGCAUAAAACUGAACAGCCUUUUUUAAUUCUAUGCUCUAAUGUCAAGAGUGUGGGAAAAGAAAACAUUUGCAUACUGUCAGGGGGACUGUAAAUUGGUUGUUUUUCAAGUAAUACAGAUUGAAAACCUCUUUCUGAUUUUUAUAAUAAGAAUAAUUAAGAGUAGCCCCAAAAUAAUAGUUAAGAGGAUAUGCAUGGACAUACAUGUCUAGAGGGAGAUUUGUUAAGUACAUACAUUGCUAAACUAGACUCACUAUCUACCUUUAAUCAUUAUGCAGCAAUGACACACAAGGAGAGGUUUACAAUGUAUCAACUGAAAAAAGUAGAUUAUAUUUAAAAAUCUUAUUUAAGCAUAUAAACAUAGGAAAACCUCCGGAAGAAUAUUAGCAGUGAUGUGUAAAGGAGGUCAUAGAUAGGAGAUCAGCGUAGACUGGAUUUGAAAAAGAACAGUUUGGUAGGAGUUCCCAUCAUGUCUCAGUGGUUAAUGAAUCUGACUAGCAUCCAGGAGAACACAGGUUCAAUCCCUGGCCUUGCUCAGUGGGUUAAGGAUCCAGUGUUGCUGGGAGCUGUGGUGUAGGAAACAGAUGCAACUUGGAUUCAGCAUUGCUGUGGCUGUGGCAUGCACCGGCAGCUACAGCUCUGAUUCGACCCCUAGCCUGGGAACCUCCAUAUGCCGUAGGUAUGAUCCUAAAGCAAAAAAAAAAAAAAAGAAGAAAAAAAGAAAAUGGCUUGAUAGAAAGUGACUACUUGGGAGACAUCUAUCUAAUCUAACUCCUCAUUUCACACAUUAAGAAACCAUCGAAUCUCCCUACUUCACCUACCUGAUUUGAUGGUGAGCACAGUCCUUAACAAAGGUUUCUAGAACCAAAAACUGAACUAGUGCUUCUUGUUUCUCCGCCGAUUAACACACCUGACACCACCAACAAGUGUGUAUACAUGUUAUCACUGUGGCCUUAACUUCUGAGCAAGGGUAACCCAGGACUAGAGCAUAGCCUGGCAGCCACUGUGGUAUUUGGAAACAAGAUGAUUAUUGUAGAGUGUGAUUUCUUCUCAUUCCACAGGCAACAUAGGGAUUUCCCUUUCCUAAUGUUACCCUUAACUUCCUUUCCUCCUCUCCCCUCGAUGCAAAGAUGGAGCACCCUCUCUCCAUCUCCUCAGCCAGCCCUAUGGAUUCUACAGUCCUGGACCCUUCAGUUGCCCCUCUCUUUCUGAUCUCACUCCCUCUUCCCUUCUAGCCACCUCCCCACUGGGUCCCUGCCUUCCUGUCAAUAUGUCCAAGUUCUUAUCCCAACUCUGCUGCCUUCUCCCAGACAGAACCCUCUUUGCUCCUACCUGUACCUUCCUUUCCACACCUGGGUAUCUAUACCUGUACCUAUCAUUAUGUCAUGAAGCAUCAAGAGCAAGGAUUUGUACUCAGAAGGUCUAGACUACACAGCUCUCCACUGACCAGGUCCACGACUUUCAGGGAACAAGUCACUUCAUUCCAAGUGAAUUUCCUCCUCCAUGAAACGAGGUUAAUAAUAUCUGCUCCACCUCCCUCAUAGCUCUACUGUUAGGAUCAAGUGAGAUAAUGUGUGUGAGAGUGCUCUGUGAGGCUACGAAAUACUUUAACAUUCUAAUUAUUCCUGUUUCUACUCUCCCCUCAGUAUCCUGACCUCACAGCACCAAAUGAGGCGGGGAAGGUUGUUCAUGACCUUCAGGCUGUUAACAUGUCAGAUCACAAUGUCAGCACCAGUAGUUUCUUCUGUGAGUUACUAAUUUGGAAUUAAUCAGAUUUAAUUUAUAAGUACAGUUGACCCUUGAACUCUGGGGAAGUGAGGGGUACCAACCUUCUAUGCAGUUGAAAAUCUAUAGUUGGCCAGUAUCCAGGGUUCUGUGUCCACAGAUUGAACCAGGCACAGGUGGUGUAGAAAUGUACUAUUUACUAUUGAAAACAAUCUGUGUAUAAGUGGACUGGUGCAGUUCAAACCCAUGUUGUUCAAGGCUCAACUGCAUAUAACCUAAGGUUUUUUAAUUAUAUGAGCAUGGACUUCUGGAAGACAAUAGAAGUAGCCAAUAAUUAUUAAGCACAUCAUGCAUUUGUUCUAAAAUACGUUACAUCAACUAUCACCUAGCACCAUCUACAGGAAAGGCUUUAUUAUUAUUUCCAUUUUAAUGAUGGGGAAACUGAGGCAGAGCAGCACUGCCAUAAUUGAACACAGGCAUCUAGCUCAAGAGCCCAUGCUCUUACCCACUGUCCUGCAAUUCCUUUAGUGACAAAGUGAUGUCUACAGUGGAGAGAGAGAAACCGGUCAGAGGCUGUGGCUCUAAGGAUUAGAGGCAAGAAGAUGGACGUGAUAAAGGACACCUGGAAUCUUUUUAAAAGACCAAAAAAAGUAUCCAUUUGCCAACUCCUAACACUGAAGGCUUAAGGUCAUCAGGCAUUUCUAUAUAUUGCUAGUGGGAAUAUCAACUGGCACAACCUUUUGAGAAGGCAAUUAGCAGAGUGCAUCAAAAACUUGAAGGAGACAUUCCCCUACUGUGGCUGACUCAGCAUUGCCACAUGCAGCAAACCACCCUAGGGAGAUAGUCACAGGUGUGCACGAAAGAUGUUAUUACAAUGUUGUUUCUAAAACUAAAAUAAAAACCGAUAAAUGCCCAACAAAAUAAAGAGACAGUGUAGAGAAACCACUGUAUACCCAUAUAAAUGAAUACCACGCAUUUAUUAUAAAUGAUGCUGCAGGAAAAAAGGAGUAAGUGCUUUGUCAAGGAAAAGAUGUAUGUUAAAAAGCCUACUGGGAGUUCCUGCGUGGCUCAACAGGUUAAGGAUCUGUUGUUGUGACGGCUGUGGCUCAGGUUCACCCCUGGUCCAGGAAUUUCCUCAGGCCGAGGGUGCGGCCAAAAAAAACUUAUUGGUAUGGGCUUUGGCAUGGGACUGGUUCAAGUUUUGAGUGGGUUUACCAGCUGAUGAGCCUGGGUGAGAUAUUUAAUUUUUCUGAGCUUCAAUUUUCUUAUGUACAGAUGGGGAUAAGAAAAGCACCAACCUCACAGGACUGUGAGAAUUAGUAAAUUAGUGUAUGUAAAGUGCUUGGUAUAGAGUCUGGCAAGGAACAAGCACAUAAUAAAUGUUUCUUGUUUGCAAAAAUCUAGCAAGUUAACACAAACAACACACGCACACCCCAUUACAAAUAUCUGUAAAACAAAUAUUACAAUUAUAUAGCAAAAUUUUAAUACUGGUUAUCUCUGAAAGUGGAAUAACAGAUUUUUUCUUUCAAAUUUUCUUUAUUUUCUAAAUUUUCUUUAUUUGAAUAAAGCCAGCAAUAUAUUAAAAUUUAAGUAUCUUCAUUUUUUCAAGUAGCUUUAAUAAUAAAUACUCCUUUCAACCUAUUAAGUUUCUCUACUAUAAUCCAGUCUGUGCAUAUUGUGUUUAAGGAAAUGGGGUACUUUUAUUGAUUUAAUCUGAAGAGUAAUGCAUUUUCCCCUUUAUUCUUCAAGAGUCAAACAGCUUGCUCAUAUUUCAUGUCCUAAGAGUCUUUCCUGCACUCAUAUAUUUUCAGAUUAAGAGCACUCUGAAGGGAUUAUUAGAGCAUCAAAGGUAGAGGAAAAGAGUAGAUUAAUGUCUCUUAAAAAGCAAAGUUAAAGAAGACAGACAUGAUAACUUCAUGAUAGUUGUAUGGGGGGAAAAGUAUACCUUACCUCAAGUAUGUAAGGUCAGAAAUUACUGCAAUAAAUAUUUCAACUCCUUGGAUGAUUUCCUAGUGUGGUUAAAAGAUGGAAGUAAUUCAAUAGUUCAGCAGUCCAUCCAGUAUAGUGACAAUCAUUCUGAAAGAAAAAAAGAGUCUCAUGAGGGAAAUGUGAUGGGGCAAUACUCCUUUCCAGCAGGAGAGGGGAAUCAAUUAUUAGAGACAGCUAAACAGUUUGAAAUCAAAGUAUGGUUAAGGGGUGGAAGGGGCAGGCCCGAAUAAAAAAGAACCUAGGAUAUCAUGCAAAUAUGAGUCUCCUCUGCUUUGGUAACAGCUAGUGGUUAACAUAUGGAGUAUCUC